GGGCCCUGCUCUUGCAGGGUAGGCUAGAUCCACGGCCGCUCAUGCGAGGAGGCCAGAUCUACGGCCGCUAGUGCGGCGGUUCCGGCAGCUGUGCUUCGAUUCCGGCCAUGGGCAAGACGGAUUAGGCGGCGGCGUGUCAGGUUCUGACCAGCAGCACGGCAGAUCCAGCUACGGCGACCCCCGUCCCCUCCCAACAGUGCAGGUGAGCACUCGUUUCCCUUCGAUCAGAUUUGCAUCCUCUGUACCAGACCUCAACGUCUCGCAUAGAUGGUAACUCACUACAGCAUGGCUGUUUAUAGAAGGCAUUUAAAAAUGCCUUUAAAAAUCAUCAAAAUGCCUUCAAAAACCUUUUUAGACAUACUUAGAAAUGCCUGCUAUAAAGUGGACUUAAAAGGUCGUUUGAGGCAUUUUUUCAAAACGUCUUCCAAUAUCAACAUAUAAAGGCAUUUUGUAGCUGCCUAUAAUAGUUUUUAAAGGCAUUAUGUAUAAGCCUUCAAACACUGAAAGAGGCAUUAUUAAAAAUGCCUCCAAAACCAACUCAUACAUGCUGAAAUUUGCUAGUAAUUAAUAUCAAAAUAGCACAAAUCCAUCGAGAAAUUAACCGAUGAAAGCAGAUAUUAACAGCACAAUCCAAUCAUUUAAAUCUUUCUGGCAUACAGAGUUAUAUUUGUACCAAACACAAUCAAUAAGGUAGAAAAAUAAUCAAAUAUCUAUCUUCAAAUGAUAUUCCCAAGUCCUUUUGUGUAGGUCCCCAAUCUUAAAUGAUGCAAAUGGAAGUAGUGCAACAAAAGAUGUAGAUAAAGAAGUAGAGGGAGAAAGCGUCCAUGAUUCAGAUAACCCAGAGCUGAUAUAUCUCUGAAUCAAGUUGAUUAAACGAGCACCAGCAUCAUCUGUUUUAUGACUGACAAAUAAUCAAGCUGUCUGCAAUGAAAACAAAAAGGUUAGUGCUAAAUUUUAAAGCUGAAAAUACAACUUAGUAACUCAGUAUUUAACUCAUCAUGAUUCUGAAAAAAUUAAUUAAGUAUGUGUGUGCUGAGCCUAGUAGAAAGCACAGUGUGAUUUGCUUACACACAAGCAGUGAAGUGUGCCUGCGAGGUUGUGACUGAGCUAUGAAAGCCAUAGUGAGGAAGCAAUUACCCCACAAGAGGCUCAGGCCAUCAAAAUACCAAGGUGCUUUCUAAGGGACAAUGUAAUAUAAGAAUUAUAAGAAGCUAUCUGUUCGAUCCAAACUAGUCCAAAAAAGAAGCUAUCUCUUACCUCAAAGCAACGUUAAAUCAUGGGAAUAAAAAAACAAUGGCUAGUCAGCGCAUGGGACAUGGAUUGAACUUCCAAAGGCUAUAAGUUGAGGUAAGAAAGCAAUGAAAUUUGAAGGCCUAAAAUACUUAAAAUGGCAGUGCCAGCAUCUAAAAAGCCGAAGGGUCUUCUUAUAAUCUUCUUCGGAUUUCAUCCUUCAAAAAAGUUAUGACCAAAUAAUUUUUUUAACCAUAAGUAAACUAAUAAACCAGUAGGAGGAAGAAAGCAACAUACAUUUUUUCAAAGCUUUAGUCAUCAAUUGGCUGCCCAUUUGUUCUGUAUGUGUUGCUAUAGAGCUCAGCACGGCUUAUCUGUCUUCCUUCCUUUAGUUCCUGUAUUAAGAACAAUAACACAUAAAGACAAUCAAUGAUUAUAUUUCAAUAAGAUAAUGGUAUACCGUAUACCAGCUGGUCUAAAACAACUACAUCCAAUGAAACUUGUUAAGUUAAAGAAAUUUAGCAUGUGAAUCCUAUAUACAACCUUAAACCUCUGUAUUGAAGUCAACACAUUGAUAGCAGCAACACAUGUUCACUUAACUACAGUAUAACAAAAUGAGCUUGAGGUGAACAAACUGGACAACAGCUAGUAUAUUGAAUGGAAUUAAAAUAUGGAACGAUUUUUGUUUCGGAACGAAACCAUUCCUCAAGAUCAAUAUUAGGAUGUAAAAUGUCCCCAGAGAAAACAACUGUAAAUUGAACUCGAUACAACAUCAGUAAUUCAGCAGUGGUGAAAGUAUGUCCAGACAUAGAUAUAGCAUUUUGCAGAGUGCAAAAGCAAGAUAACCAACAUGGUCACAUGGAACCAUGUUGACAUAAAAAAUAGCAUUGGUUUUGGAUAAAACUGUAAUUAAUUAGGAAGAGACGGAGACUUUUGGCACUAUUUUCUGAUAAGCAUAGCACUAGCAAGUACCAAUAACAAUAUUUAGAGAACACAUUUCUUCAUAAUUUCAUUAAGCCAAUUACUGGCCACUAUAAGAGAAUUAUGCACUCAGCUAUUUGUCCACCCACUGUCACUGCUAAUAUGAGGCCAAGCUAUUUCUCAAAAGCAUAAAACAUAUCCAAUUUAAAUAACCAGAGGAUCUGGUUAUCACAAGAUAAUCGAUGAGCUUAUGGAUCUGAUAAGCUCAGGCACAUAUUAGAUAGACUUGUCAAAACCUAUACAUUCUAUAUGGCACAGAAUCGAUCAUAUAUUGAUAUAUCGCUUUACCUCAUGGGAAGCUAAUGAAUAUCCUGAGCCAGUAUAUCUGCUACUGGGGAUAACUCAUCCUUUUCACAACCUCCAUGACAACUCAUUUAAGCAAUUUCUGUUUGCAACAUUAAAUAUCAGUAAAACCAUCACUUCCAGAAAAAUCAAGCAUGAAUCCUCAUCUCCUAUUUGCAAUUACAUUUUUUCAUUUUAGCUUUCUUCAAGGCUCCCACUGAUUCCAAUUGACUCAACAAUAAGCUUGUACCAAUAAAACAGGUCAAAACUCCAAACAAAUCAUGCUCUUCUAAAUUUAUGUGGUUAAGAAAAGUAGCUUGUAACAGUAAUCAAACCCAUGCCCUAGUGUCCAUCGCAGGAAUAAAAUUUGCAUUUACAGGAGGACCAACUGGAUCAUAGCAAUAGUAAUAAAGUUAAGCACAGUGAAAUUCUAGCUUGGUACAGAUAACUAGCACCAUUUAUUUUACACAGAUCAAAUCAAAUAGAAAAAAUUGAGAACACAUUUUAAAUCAAUCAAGAUCUCAAUAGAGGCUUCAAUUGAUUGGUGGCUAUGGGGAUAUACCUGGAUUAGUAGUUGUAGCAGGGGACAAUGAUGUUUGUGUACGAACUCAGGAUGCUUAUGGAGGAGCCCUUCAGGAUCUCGACCUCCUCGUCGAUGAGGACCUCCUCGCCAGUGAGCUCUCGAGGCCUCGCGGUCGCCUCAGGCCGUCGUGAUUCUGAAUCACGAGCUGUACCAGACGCUUUAGGCUGGGAUGUAGCAGCGGACCUCUUCGUCAGCGAGCUCGCGAGCCCUCGCAGCCUCCUUAUGCCGGGAUGUGGUGGAGGACUUCGUCGGCGAGCUGGCGAGCCCGUGCGUCCGCCUCAGGUUGGCGCAACUUCGCGUCGUGAGCUCUAGCGGCGGCCACCUCUGUCUCACACGAAUUUGGGUAAGGAUUCAACGAUUGGAUGUGGUGGAGGACCUCCUUGUUGGCGAGCAGGCGAGCCCGUGCGUCUGCCUCAGGUCAUCGCGAAUCUAAAUCAGGAACCCUAGCACCGGCCUCCUCUCUCUCGUGAAAUUGGGGGAAUGAUUUUUAGGCUUCCGAAUCGCUGUGGUGACUUCCGAGUAGCGGCAGCCACCUCCUUCCGUGCGUGAGUAUACUUCCGAUUCGCUGUGCUAUUUCCGUGCGUGAGUAAGCUUCCGGCCCAGAUAAUCUUCCGUGUGUGAUAACAAAAGCUAAAGGCCCAAAUGAUUAAGUGGAUCUAUAAACCAAAGUAAAUAGCAUAUGUGGACAACAAAGGCAUUUUAAAAAAUGCCUCCAAUACUACAUGUAAUUAAAGUCAUUUUAAAAAUGCCUCCAAAGCUUAGAUAAUUGAAGGCGUUUUUAAAAAAAUGCCUCUAAUACUUAGUUAAUUAAAGGUGUUUUUAUAUUAGCCUUUAAAAAAAUAGUUUCAAAGGCAUUUUCGUAAGAAUGCCUUUAGAUAAAAGAAAAUUAAGGCAAUUUAAGAAAAAUGCCUUUAUCAAAAUGCCUUUAAUUAAUAGACAUGUUGUAGUGACUAUAGCUUAUAAUCACCAGAUUUGAUAAUGAAUUAGAAACUGGAUGUUUGCGGCAGAGUCAACAUGUGGCAAAUAGUUGAACCACGGCACCAAUGUCUUAAGGAUAUUAAAUGUAAUCUUUUUGUUCUUGAUCGUGGAAAAAAACAGGCAUGAACAACUGCUCCACCAUGCCAACAACAGCCAUGCAUAGUCUUUACUGCCUUACUGGUGCAUCUCACUGCCUUACCAGGACUACAGUACAAAAACAGAUGUUACAUUUGUUUAUAAUUACUUGCAUCUCACUUGGAUUUAUGACAUGUUAAUUAAAUCUUUUCUGUCCAAUUAAAUGUCCUCAAUUAUAUGCAUCUCUGGUGGGCUUCAGUCGUUCAUUUUAGUGUAACCCAACCAUAUUAUUAUGCAGAUUACAGUUUUAAUACAUUAAUGCAAUUCCUGAUGCUUAGUUUUUAUGUUGAAUGCAGAAAAAAUGGUUUGUCACAGGAUUGUUAACUCCAUAGAGUGGUCAAAUGUUUCUGUUUAGGUUGGUCACUCUUGUUGGUUUUUCUACCACAAACUAGGAGCUAAAACCAUCAGUUUUAUAAUUUCAAACUUGGUGAGAUGCGGCAGUACAGGUUGCAGCUUGAAUAGCCAGUUAAUGCAUUCAGUCACCAUGCUGAGUUGUCCUUUGUAAUAUUGAGCUGUGGCGGUAUGGAUCUGCGGUGAUAUAUUUUUGUAACUCCUUGUAUUUUAACCUAUUUUGGUUAUGUUUCCUGCAUUGGUGUGUAUAGGAUAAAUUAAAUUAGGAGAUUUCAGAACACUAGUGAUAGAUAUGCAAAGAUUGGACAAACCAUAUGUGAGUUAAGCAAGAAUGCAGGUAUAUUAUUAUCAAUAAUUUUGAUAUCAGUUCUCCAA
RNAcentral lists this long non-coding RNA (4915 nucleotides) under Sorghum bicolor (sorghum). RNAcentral's name for it is "long non-coding RNA (SBIC_LNC014420)". The record is from RNAcentral. Lineage: Eukaryota; Viridiplantae; Streptophyta; Magnoliopsida; Poales; Poaceae.